Long non-coding RNA from Mus musculus (house mouse), 3603 nucleotides. RefSeq annotates it as predicted gene, 42373. Lineage: Eukaryota; Metazoa; Chordata; Mammalia; Rodentia; Muridae. The record is from RefSeq and is a predicted model, not a curated record. The transcript has 4 exons.
GAGAACUUUGAUGGUAUAACAUAGGUAGCCACAGGAGUAUCAUAAUGGUAUGGUCCUUUAGCUGUGGAUGUCCAAAAGUUACAAAUGAUCAAUAGGAAAAUGGAGAUUCUAUCUGUAAGUAAACAAAAAGGGAAUCAUGAAAGCCUAUACAUUUUUGUUCCUUGUUUUGACAUAUGCAUGAUUUACGAGGGACAUUUUCAUUCUUUGGUACUAGUAAUCCAUCUGUAUUUUUUUUUCUAGAUUUUAGUCACAAAACGUUACUCAUGAAUUAAAGAGGAUAAAUACAUGAAAUGUGGAUCAUUUACAGUGAGACCCAGAGAAUGGAAGGACCAGGUAGUUCACAUGGAGGAGACUGCUGCAGAGAUUCAAGAAUUCCCCCACCUUGUUUGAUGAAGCUCUACAUCAUGAUCUUGCCUCUUUCUGGGCCAACAAUCCCCCAGGUACUCUUUUGCAAUAUGUAGAUGACCUUCUGGUGGCUGCAGAAACACACAAGGAGUGUGAACUUGGGACUCAGAGAAUCCUGGCUGAGUUAGGUGAGUUGGGGUACUGGGCUUCGGCUAAAAAGGCACAGUUAUGCCAGACUGAGGUGACUUACCUGGGAUACACCCUGAAGAAUGGACAACCAUGGCUCACCCGGAGCUAGGAAGAGGACAGUGACACAGAUACUUACCCCAACCACAACUCACCAGCCAUUCUCAACCCCACCACCUUACUGCCUGAAGCUAACGAAACCAUGGUACACCAAUGUGAAGAGAUACUGGCAGAAGAAACUGGGACUCGGCCAGACUUAACUGACUGACCAUGGCCUGGGGCAGUGACCUGGUUCACCUAUGGAUGCAGCUUCAUGGUAGAAGCCUGGCAGAAGACCCUCAAAACCGUAAGGAAAGAAAACUGGGAGCAGUUGAAAGAGGCCUAUGUCACUGGCGACUUGCAGGUGCCACAUCAGUUUGAAGUGGGAGACACUGUCCUGGUGAGAAGGCAUCGAGCAGGGAACCUUGAGCAAUGGUGGAAGGGACCCUACCUGGUGCUAUUGACUACACCCACUGCCAUUAAGGUAGAAGGAAUCCCCACUUGGGUCCAUGCUUAACAGGUUAAGAAGGCUCCCCCCUGAGACUAGUCGAGAUGAGUGGACCCUGGAAAAGACUAAUAAUCCUCUUAAGUUGCACCUAUGUCGCAGCUCAGAACCGAGACCUCAAUCAUCAUAUACCAACUCAGAAAACUUGGGAAGUGAUUAGUGAAGAGGGGAACAUUGUUUGGUCAGUCACCUCAGUAUAUGCGACCCCCCCCAACCCUGUGGACUUGGUGGCCUUACCUCGUGCCUGAUAUUUGUAAGCUGUCAGCGGGAUCACUUACCUGGGACCUCCCUGACCAUAACGAUCUCUAUAACCCCCCACCUAAGAAACUGUGUUUCCCGAAUAGGAUAGCGAGCACAUUUGGGUGCUCGGGGCAGUUCUAUCAGGCCAUCCACUGGUCCGCAGAGUUUUAUAUUUGUUCUGGCCAAGGCCAGAGCUGAAAGCUUUGGCAUAAAUGUGGGGUAUCAGAUUUUUAUUGUGCUGCAUGGGGUUGUCAAAAAACAGGAGUGCCUUACUGGAAUCCUACCUCUACCUGGGACCUACUUAUGGUGAAAAGGGGCAGCAGCUUUGACAAGCCAAACCAAGGUGAGAGAGAUGGGUCUAAAUACCCUGAGAACAGGUGUGCCCACAGCAACAUCCCCAAUGGACCCUCUAAAGGUAAACAUUGCAACCACAUACUUAUAAAAUUCACUGUCAAAGGGAAACAAGAUCGUUAGAGCUGGCUUAGGGGAAAUAUUUGGGAUCUGCGAUUGGAUGCCGCAGGGAAAGACCCUGCGUUGAUUUUCAAAAUCAAAUUAACUGUGGAGAGUCCAUCCCCAGUGCCCAUAGGACCUAACAAGGUCCUUCCAGAACAGGGCCUCCCUGCCAAACCCAAACCCCCGGCUCUGAUAAUUGAGGACCCCUUUCAACAAGGUCGCCACCACCCCAGAUUCUCUGACCACAUUCCCCCCAGAUCCCUCGAUGAGACAGAGACUGUUCAAUCUGAUUAGAGGAGCCUUUUAUACCCUUAACAGCUCGGAUCCUGACACCACUACUAACUGCUGGUUAUGCCUAUCAUCAGGCCCUCCCUACUACGAAUGGGUUGCUUUUAAUGGAGAUUUUAAUAAAACCAGAAGUCAUGCCUCCUGCUCAUGGGGGACAGGAAAGAAAUUAACACUGACUGAAGUUUCAGGGAGGAGCUGUGGUCUCUGUAUAGGGACACAUCCUCCUUCCCACCAGCACCUAUGUAUCCAGGACAAAUACCAACAAUCACCUUGUGCCAUAUCCAUUCAGUUGGUGGGCCUGUAACACAAGGCUCAUCCAAUGUGUAUCAACUAGUGUCUUUGACCCCUCUCGUGAUUUCUGUGUCAUGGUUCAACUUCUACCUCGCAUGUAUUAUUAUCCUGCCCUGCCUGGAAGAUGAACAUAUCAGUAAGAUGUUGAAAAGAGAUCUAGUCUCCAUUACCCUAGCUAUGUUAAUGGGUACGGUUUUACAGCAGGAGUAGGAAUGGGCAUAGCAGCCUUGAUUGAGGGUAGACAAGGAAUUCAGUCCUUAAGAGAAGCUAUAAAUGAAGAUUUAAGCAAGCUAGAAAAAUCUGUUGAUGCAUUAGGGAAAUCCUUGACUUCCCUCUCAGAAGUAGUAUUACAAAACAGAAGAGGUUUAGAUUUAUUGUUUUUAAGGGAAGGUGGACUAUAUGCAGCCUUAAAAGAAGAAUGCUGCAUUUACGUGGACCAUGCGGGAGUAGUCAGAGAUUCUAUGCAGAAAUUAAGGGACAGACUGGAAAGGAGAAAGCGAAAUUAAGAAGCUGAACAGGGAUGGUUCGAGUCGUGGUACUAUAAAUCUCCGUGGAUGACCACUUUACUUACCACUUUAGCCAGACCAAUUCUUACUAUAUGUUUGGUUUUGAUCUUUGGCCCCUGCUUAAUAAAUAAGGGAAUUGCUUUUGUUAAGAGUAGAGUGAAUGCAUUGCAGAUUAUGGUGCUCCAACAUCAAUAUCAACCCAUAGUAAAGAUAGAAGAGGAAUAUGAUUCCUACCCCCCACAUGAGGAUAUAGACCUUUAAAAUUCUAAGAUUAGAAUUAUUUAGUAGAAGAAGAGCAGAAAGAAAGAAAGAAAACUAAAUUCAAGGCUUCGAGGCCCUAAUCAGAAGGUUUACAGACUUAAAGCCAUACAGAUAAGAGAAUCGGGCCCACAAAAAGGCUGUAAAGUCAUCCCAGGAACUAACUAGCCUUUGAAAUAUGAAAGGCACACAAGGACAAUCUCCGGACAAGCUCAGAUGAGUAAUGGGCCACCUGCUAAUAUGGUUUGAGCUUAGCCAGAUUCCCUGCCCACCAAGAUAAACACCCUCCCUUUAGAGUUACUGUCACAUACUGCUUGCUGAUGUUUAUACCGGCCACUUAUGUGUUACUGCGCCAAUUUCCCCUAUCCCCCCACUCCUUUCCUAUAUAACCCCCUAACUUUUGAGCCUUAGGGUCGACUCCCCUGCCUCCUGUGUGAGAUACGUGUCAGCCCGGAGCUCUGUUCAUUAAACUGCCUCGUGUGUUUGCAUCAA